Long non-coding RNA from Phodopus roborovskii (desert hamster), 216 nucleotides. RefSeq lists it as uncharacterized. Lineage: Eukaryota; Metazoa; Chordata; Mammalia; Rodentia; Cricetidae. The record is from RefSeq and is a predicted model, not a curated record. The transcript is spliced from 2 exons.
UCGCGCCCACUGGCUUUCCCCUCCGGACGUUGUUCCUGGGCGGUUAGGAACUGUUGAGAGGGGUCCUAGACUCACCCCUCUUUCACCACCCUGAAGACAGGGAUACCCGCCUGGUUUGGGCCACCCUAAACUUAAAGCAAACUACAGAUGCAUUAAUGACGAGGAUGGGCCAUUGAUCUUAGGAGAGAACUGGAAACUAGAUUUAAAAAAAUAAAA